This 301-nucleotide ribosomal RNA is filed under the name uncultured bacterium. RNAcentral describes it as "partial 16S ribosomal RNA". It matches the Rfam family "Bacterial small subunit ribosomal RNA", at positions 509 to 807 of the family's 1533-position model. The record is from RNAcentral.
CAGUAGCCACGGUAAUACGUAGGUGGCAAGCGUUGUCCGGAAUUAUUGGGCGUAAAGGGCUCGCAGGCGGUUUCUUAAGUCUGAUGUGAAAGCCCCCGGCUCAACCGGGGAGGGUCAUUGGAAACUGGGAAACUUGAGUGCAGAAGAGGAGAGUGGAAUUCCACGUGUAGCGGUGAAAUGCGUAGAGAUGUGGAGGAACACCAGUGGCGAAGGCGACUCUCUGGUCUGUAACAGACGCCGAGGAGCGAAAGCGUGGGGAGCGAACAGGAUUAGAUACCCCCGUAGUCCCUGUCUCUUAUAC